AAUAAGAUCAUUUUUCAGUUUUUAGAUAUAAUGUUUUGACUCUUCGUCUUAUUUGAAUUUUUUGCGAUUAAUAUUUUUAUUGUUACUAGAUGAUAAAACAUGAAUAAUACUUUAUGCGUGACUAAAUUUUUAAGUUUUUGCGCAAAUUUUUUAAAUAAGACGAAUGAUCAAACUUUAGAUACAGGAAUCAAAAAAUAAAGUUAUU
Molecule: microRNA precursor, 205 nt
Filed under: Oryza brachyantha (malo sina)
Lineage: Eukaryota; Viridiplantae; Streptophyta; Magnoliopsida; Poales; Poaceae
Description: MIR812 microRNA precursor family
Rfam family: MIR812 microRNA precursor family
Source: Rfam by way of RNAcentral